UACAGGGGGGGCAAGCGUUGUUCGGAAUUACUGGGCGUAAAGGGCUCGUAGGCGGCCAACUAAGUCACACGUGAAAUCCCCAGGCUCAACCUGGGAACUGCGUGUGAUACUGGAUGGCUUGAAUUCGGGAGAGGGAUGCAGAAUUCCAGGUGUAGCGGUGAAAUGCGUAGAUAUCUGGAGGAACACCGGUGGCGAAGGCGGCAUCCUGGACCGAGAUUGACGCUGAGGAGCGAAAGCGAGGGGAGCAAACGGG
RNAcentral lists this ribosomal RNA (253 nucleotides) under uncultured bacterium. RNAcentral's name for it is "partial 16S ribosomal RNA". It matches the Rfam family "Bacterial small subunit ribosomal RNA", at positions 524 to 776 of the family's 1533-position model. The record is from RNAcentral.